GCAGGGGUAGUCAAGCUUGGUCAAAGGCGCCAGAAUGAGGGUCUGGUCCCAUAGGGGUCCGUGAGUUCAAAUCUCACCCCCUGCACCA
RNAcentral lists this transfer RNA (88 nucleotides) under Thermoplasmata archaeon. RNAcentral describes it as "tRNA-Leu". It matches the Rfam family "tRNA". Rfam says of the family: Transfer RNA (tRNA) molecules are approximately 80 nucleotides in length. Their secondary structure includes four short double-helical elements and three loops (D, anti-codon, and T loops). Lineage: Archaea; Methanobacteriati; Thermoplasmatota; Thermoplasmata. RNAcentral also lists the same sequence under 1 other name. The record is from RNAcentral.